GCUACAGGCUUAACACAUGCAAGUCGAGGGGCAGCACAAGGCAGCAAUGCUGAGGUGGCGACCGGCGCACGGGUGCGUAACGCGUAUCCAACCUUCCCGUUACUCUUGGAUAGCCUUCCGAAAGGGAGAUUAAUACAAGAUGGUGUUGAAAUUCCGCAUGUUAUUUCAACUAAAGAUUUAUCGGUAACGGAUGGGGAUGCGUGACAUUAGAUAGAUGGCGGGGUAACGGCCCACCAUGUCCACGAUGUCUAGGGGUUCUGAGAGGAAGGUCCCCCACACUGGAACUGAGACACGGACCAGACUCCUACGGGAGGCAGCAGUGAGGAAUAUUGGUCAAUGGCCGGAAGGCUGAACCAGCCAAGUAGCGUGAAGGAUGAAGGUUCUAUGGAUUGUAAACUUCUUUUAUAUAGGAAUAAAACCUCCCACGUGUGGGAGCUUGUAUGUACUAUAUGAAUAAGCAUCGGCUAACUCCGUGCCAGCAGCCGCGGUAAUACGGAGGAUGCGAGCGUUAUCCGGAUUUAUUGGGUUUAAAGGGAGCGUAGGUGGCCUGUUAAGCCAGCUGUGAAAUACUGUAGCUCAACUACAGCCGUGCAGUUGGAACUGGUGGGCUUGAGUGCACAAGAGGAAGGUGGAAUUCGUGGUGUAGCGGUGAAAUGCUUAGAUAUCACG
Molecule: ribosomal RNA, 669 nt
Filed under: uncultured Bacteroidota bacterium
Lineage: Bacteria; Pseudomonadati; Bacteroidota
Description: bacterial SSU rRNA
Rfam family: Bacterial small subunit ribosomal RNA
Source: RNAcentral